This 450-nucleotide ribosomal RNA is filed under the name uncultured bacterium. RNAcentral describes it as "bacterial SSU rRNA". It matches the Rfam family "Bacterial small subunit ribosomal RNA", at positions 340 to 786 of the family's 1533-position model. The record is from RNAcentral.
UACGGAAGGCAGCAGUGGGGAAUAUUGCACAAUGGGCGCAAGCCUGAUGCAGCCAUGCCGCGUGUAUGAAGAAGGCCUUCGGGUUGUAAAGUACUUUCAGUCGUGAGGAAGGUGUUAAGGUUAAUAACCUUAGCAAUUGACGUUAGCGACAGAAGAAGCACCGGCUAACUCCGUGCCAGCAGCCGCGGUAAUACGGAGGGUGCGAGCGUUAAUCGGAAUUACUGGGCGUAAAGGGCACGCAGGCGGUUAAUUAAGUUGGAUGUGAAAUCCCCGGGCUUAACCUGGGAAUGGCAUUCAAGCUGGUUAGCUAGAGUCUUGUAGAGGGGGUAGAAUUCCAUGUGUAGCGGUGAAAUGCGUAGAGAUGUGGAGGAAUCCAGUGGCGAAGGCGGCCCCUGGACAAAGACUGACGCUCAUGUGCGAAAGCGUGGGGAGCAAACAGGAUUAGAUACC